GUUGUGGUGUAUUAUUUAUGAUUGUUUAUCAAGUCAAUUGAGUAAACAGAAUUAACUGUGUAUGACACUAGUGUAUUAGUACGAAGUUAGUACCAAACAUAUGCGGCAACACGGUAACGAGUGGUAACCGGGACUGAAGGUGCUGCGCGAAGCAAGCUGCUGGCAGCGCCGGCAGUUGAGAUACGAACGAGCAACGGACGAGUCGUGUAUCGUAGUGCGUUGGUAAAAUAGUCUGCGGAUGGAGGCGUGAGAGGUUUUCGGUACGACGACUGUACGGAUUUUACAAAUUGGCACAGCCGGUACGAAAAAAGGUAAGAUUUUUUUUUUAAAUGUUGUGAUAUUGUAAAGAUGGUGAUAUAUUGCGAAACGACAAUGAAAUACAUAUUUUGGAAUCUUGGAAUGGCUACCCACAACGAGGUCAAUAUUUUACAAAAUGGCGGAAUAUGUUUGGAAAGUUGUUAUACGAAGUGGAACAGGCAUGAGGAUUGAAAGCGCAAAACAAAAUGGCGAGUCUAAUGUGAAGUGAUCAAUGUGCUAAAAAAAAAAAAAAGAACAUGGCUCCUGCGCGAUUAGAAGCCGAAUCUUUUUGCAUUAUUAAUGGACGAGAAACAGAAGUGGAUCGAAAAGAAGUGGGUCGGAACAAAAUGCCAGAAGUGGAUUUAUUCGAUGUGGAUCAAAUCAAACUGAUGAAACGAUGAAGGCAAAGAAGAAAAUACGAAGUGGAUCAACUAAGACAUAUGAAGUGGACCGAAGCAAAGAAAAAAACGAACGAAGGGUAAAAGCGAUGUGGAUCGAAACAAGCUGAUCAAAUGAAAUAAACGUUGAUUCAAAAAAAAAAAAAUACUCAAAAAAAAUCUUGUAACAAAUUGUUCUCUACAUGAAAAUUUCAGAUGAAUGACGAAGGAGGACGUUGGUCGAUUGCACCAUUCAAUGAUGCGGUUGAUGCUCAAGACCUACGAAGGGAAUGGGAGGAAUGGCACCGAUCAUUCGAACUCAUGAUCGAGAUGAAGCAAGUUAAAUCACAGCAUGAGAAGUUGGUAACAAUGUUGUGCUACGGCGGCAGAGGUUUGCAGCGCAUCUUUCAUAACUUGAAACCCGUUCCGGAAGAAAUUUCUCCAGAACCAGUGCGCAUACCUUUGAUGCCACCAGAGUACCCCGAGUACGAUAACGCUAUCAAGAGGCUUGAAAAGUUUUUCGUUGGGAAGAGAAAUGAUCGCGUUGAACUCGAAGUUUUUCGAUCGUUGAAACAAGUAGCGGAUGAAUCGUUCAACAAGUUCGUACUUCGUUUGCGUACGCAAGCGGCUCGGUGCGAAUUCGGAGAACGCGAGGAAAUGGAAAUUCUUCAUCAAAUCACAAUGGGAGCUCGAGACGAGCGUGUCCGGGAUAAAGGCCUGGAGAGCGUAAUGGAUUUGGACGAUUUGACAAGCUACGCGAUCAACCGUGAAAUUUUGGUGCAGCAGCGGGAGAAAACAAAACCAUUCAGGCAGGAAGCAAUGGCUGUGGUGAAGCAAGAGUGGCCUCGCAGACCAGCAGUCUUCAACCGUAAUCAAGACAGUUCCAGGUUCAACAAAGUUCAGGAAAGGAUUCGCCGACCAUCUGACCGCAACGGCUCGAAGUCGGUAAUCAAUCGUAGGAGUAGUGAGUGUGAUCGAUGUGGGUCGUGGAAGCAUGGCGGCAAUUAUCCUCGAUGCCCAGCCCUUGGAUCACGCUGUCAUCAGUGUGGUACUACUGGACAUUUUUCACGAAAAUGCCGCAAAGUUCAUGCAGGACAACGCAGAUCUGCUUGGAAACCACCAGCACAGGAGACGAACGCUGUACCGGGCCCGGAUGAUUGGGAUGAGGAGAUGCCCCGCCGUCCAAAACCAGAAGACAUUGCGAAGGUAGAAUAAGUUUAAACUUUUUUUUCAAUUUUUCUUUAAAUCCAAAAUCUUGAAUUCACGGACUAAGCCACCUGAAAAGGCAAAAUAAAAAAAAUAAUUAUAAUAAUGGAAAAAUAAAUAUGUUGAUUACUUUAUUUCAUUGCUUGGCAGGUGAACAAAAUCUGUUCAGAGCUCAAGGAAGGGAUUAUCACAUGCAAGGUUGAUAAACUCCCGGUUCAGUUCCUGAUAGAUUCAGGAUCUGCAAUUAAUGCGGUUACUGAGGAAGUUUGGAGCAACCUUGUUGAAACUGAAGCAAAAGUAUACAACAUUAAGCAGAAAAGUGAGCGUAACUUUACAGCAUAUGCCAGCAGCGAAUCCUUGUGUGUAGUAGCUACCUUCGAAGCCAACAUUACAGUAAAUCCGUCUAAGCCACACAGUUACGCCGAAUUUUUUGUGAUCAAAGGAGCAACUAAGUCAUUGUUGAGUAAGAGGACCUCGGAAGACCUUCAUGUACUGAAAGUUGGACUCGACGUCGAUCACGUUGAAGCAACUAUGGAGCCUGUCGUUAAACCGUUUCCGAAGUUUCCAAACGUGCAAAUAAAACUUUCCAUUGACAAGAAUGUAAUCCCGAGGCGUAUCUCGUAUUUGAGAGUCCCGGCGGCAAUGGAAAAAAGGGUUGACGAUAAAAUACUGGAAAUGCUGCGAACAGACGUCAUAGAGAGGGUAGACGGGCCACCGGAAUGGAUUUCUCCAAUGGUGGUUGUGCCAAAAGGCAAAAACGAUGUACGCCUAUGCAUCAAUAUGAAAUAUCCAAACGAGGCUAUUCAACGAGAGCACUACCCGCUACCAGUUAUUGAUACCUUUCUCAACAAGUUGAGGGGAUCGAAGUUCUUCUCAAGGCUGGACAUAACUUCCGCGUUUCACCAUAUCGAACUACAUCCAGAAUCAAGGGGAGUUACUACGUUCAUGACAGCCAGAGGAUUGAUGCGGUUCAAGAGGUUGAUGUUUGGUAUAACAUGUGCCCCAGAAAUUUUCCAGCGAGUGAUGACUGAGAUGCUGGCUGAUAUAGACGGAGUUAUUGUAUACAUCGACGAUGUAGUAGUAUCCGGAAGGACUGUAGAAGAGCACGAC
This is an RNA transcript of Aedes albopictus (Asian tiger mosquito), 2990 nucleotides long. RefSeq lists it as uncharacterized. The record is from RefSeq and is a predicted model, not a curated record. NCBI's taxonomy places the organism in Eukaryota, Metazoa, Arthropoda, Insecta, Diptera, Culicidae. The transcript has 2 exons.